Molecule: non-coding RNA, 291 nt
Organism: Chlorocebus sabaeus (green monkey)
Lineage: Eukaryota; Metazoa; Chordata; Mammalia; Primates; Cercopithecidae
Source: RefSeq, a predicted model, not a curated record
UGCGGCCUCUCCGCCCCUCUGCAACAGAUGUUUCAGCCGUGUAAGACAAAGGCAGAGCGCCUGCUGCUGCCGGAGAAAAUCCGCAGGACUCCCUCAGGGGCAGCCGCCCUCGGAAGUCAGCCGAGUGAAGCAGCUGUUCCUUGCACACUCCACUUGACCAAAGAUGAUGAUAAAUGAGGCCGGGGCUGCAGCGGGGACGCGGCGGCGGCGAGGGGCGCGCAGGGCGGGGCGUACCGCCCCCGCAGCCCCCUCCCCGUGCCUCUGUAAGGGCGAGGACGCGAAGGACAGAAG